GAUGAACGCUGGCGGCGUGCCUAACACAUGCAAGUCGAGCGGCAGCGAGGGGUGCUUGCACCCUGUCGGCGAGCGGCGGACGGCUGAGUAACGCGUGGGAACGUGCCCCAAAGUGAGGAAUAACUGCCCGAAAGGGUAGCUAAUACCGCAUAUUAUCUUCGGAUCAAAGGAUUUAUCCGCUUUGGGAGCGGCUCGCGUCGGAUUAGGUAGUUGGUGAGGUAAUGGCUCACCAAGCCGACGAUCCGUAGCUGGUCUGAGAGGAUGACCAGCCAGACUGGAACUGAGACACGGUCCAGACUCCUACGGGAGGCAGCAGUGAGGAAUCUUCCACAAUGGGCGAAAGCCUGAUGGAGCAACGCCGCGUGCAGGACGAAGGCCUUCGGGUUGUAAACUGCUUUUAUAAGUGAGGAAUAUGACGGUAACUUAUGAAUAAGGAUCGGCUAACUACGUG
RNAcentral lists this ribosomal RNA (451 nucleotides) under uncultured bacterium. RNAcentral describes it as "partial 16S ribosomal RNA". It matches the Rfam family "Bacterial small subunit ribosomal RNA", at positions 28 to 507 of the family's 1533-position model. The record is from RNAcentral.